GAUGAACGCUAGCGGGAGGCCUAACACAUGCAAGCCGAGCGGUAUUGUUUCUUCGGCAAUGAGUGAGCGGCGUACGGUUGCGUAACACUGUUGCAACCUGCCUUUAUUUGUGUGACAUCCUUUCUAAAGGAAGAUUAAUACCCCUUAAUAUAUUUACCGCCUUCGUUUAAUAUUGAAAGCUCCUGCGGCUUGGGACGGGUGCGCGCAAGAUUAGCUAUUUGGUUAGGUAACGGCUCACCAAGGCGAUGAGCCUUCGGGGGCUUGAGGGGGUGACCCACCAGAAUGGAAAUGAGGCCCAGACCAGAAUCCUACGGGAGGGAGCAGUAAGGAAUAUUGGUCGAUGGAUGCAAGCCUGAACCAGCCAUCCCGGGUGAAGAACGACUGCCCUAGGGGUUGUAAACUUCUGUUAUAGAAGAAUAAACCUACCCUCGAGAGGGUAGCUGAAGGUACUAAACGAAUAAGCACCGGCUAACUCCGUG
RNAcentral lists this ribosomal RNA (479 nucleotides) under uncultured bacterium. Its description in RNAcentral is "partial 16S ribosomal RNA". It matches the Rfam family "Bacterial small subunit ribosomal RNA", at positions 28 to 507 of the family's 1533-position model. The record is from RNAcentral.